RNAcentral lists this ribosomal RNA (404 nucleotides) under uncultured Denitromonas sp. RNAcentral's name for it is "bacterial SSU rRNA". It matches the Rfam family "Bacterial small subunit ribosomal RNA", at positions 28 to 430 of the family's 1533-position model. Lineage: Bacteria; Pseudomonadati; Pseudomonadota; Betaproteobacteria; Rhodocyclales; Zoogloeaceae. The record is from RNAcentral.
AUUGAACGCUGGCGGCAUGCUUUACACAUGCAAGUCGAACGGCAGCACGGGAGCUUGCUCCUGGUGGCGAGUGGCGAACGGGUGAGUAAUGCAUCGGAACGUACCCAGUAGUGGGGGAUAGCCCGGCGAAAGCCGGAUUAAUACCGCAUAUUUCCUGAGGGAGAAAGCGGGGGACCUUCGGGCCUCGCGCUACUGGAGCGGCUGAUGUCGGAUUAGCUAGUUGGUGGGGGUAAAGGCCUACCAAGGCGACGAUCCGUAGCUGGUCUGAGAGGAUGAUCAGCCACACUGGGACUGAGACACGGCCCAGACUCCUACGGGGAGGCAGCAGUGGGGAAUUUGGACAAUGGGCGAAAGCCUGAUCCAGCCAUGCCGCGUGAGUGAAGAAGGCCUUCGGGGUUGUAAAG